Molecule: ribosomal RNA, 253 nt
Filed under: uncultured bacterium
Lineage: Bacteria
Description: partial 16S ribosomal RNA
Rfam family: Bacterial small subunit ribosomal RNA
Source: RNAcentral
UACGAAAGGUGCAAGCGUUACUCGGAAUCACUGGGCGUAAAGCGCACGUAGGCGGACUCGCAGGUCAAUUGUGAAAUACCUGGGCUCAACCCGGGAACUGCAGUUGAAACCGCUUGUCUUGAAUACCUGAGAGGGUGGGGGAAUACCUGGCGGAGAAGUGAAAUUCGUAGAGAUCAGGUGGAACACCGGAGGCGAAGGCGCCUGCCUGGCAGUGUAUUGACGCUGAGGUGCGAAAGUGCGGGGAGCAAACAGG